AAGAGAGAGUCAAAAGACCGUGAAACCGCUCAGAGUAUAAGCCAAUGGAGCUUGGAAGGCUUCCACAGGUGCGUUACGCCUUUUCAGGUUGUUCGCAGAUGUAGAGUCUCGCUCGUUAGCCGAAGCAUUUGAGUAUGCCGUCCAAGUGUCAUUCACUGGAGUCAGCUUGGGGGUCGUCCGGUUUCGGCCGGCGUUCUCCCUUCUGUCCCCUUUUGAAUGGACGUUCAGAGCUCUUCGUCUAUUGUGGUUACGCCCACCACAGCACGUUGUGAGGUCACCCACAGGCUCAAACUGCCGAUCGCGCAUCCAGGACGAUGGCAACGAUGCGUAGUGCAUGCUUGAAGCGAGUCUUCACUCACACGCGUGUCUAGUCCUGGGUCGGGCGGCGACCGAGAUAAACCUGGUACGAUCCUCUUGCGACGAGCUGCUUUCUGGCCAGACCGACGUCCAGGCGUUUCCACUGUGCCGGAAGCGUCCAUCCCAGGCGGUGUGAACCAAGGUGCAUGGUGCAUGGUCUCUCAGCCGGGCGUUGGUCUGAGUGGUGUUAAGUCCAGCACCAUCGGUCACGUCUCGAAACACGGGCCAAGGAGUAUAGCAUGUGUGCAAGUCUAAGGGUCUCACAAAACCCGAAGGCGAAGUGAAAGCAAGACUGUGGCGGGGGAGCUACGGCGAACCCGCCGGCCUGGUGUCGCAAUUUUAUUGCGUCGCCGGCUUUAACAGAGCUGAUCCUGAUUCUCGGUUUAUUCUUGGUGCAGGCGCAAGCUCCGGGCUCACGUACAACACUGGUCACUUGUGGCUGUGUUGUGAGCACCGUGGAGCAUGC
Molecule: ribosomal RNA, 823 nt
Filed under: Niphargus poianoi salernianus
Lineage: Eukaryota; Metazoa; Arthropoda; Malacostraca; Amphipoda; Niphargidae
Description: partial large subunit ribosomal RNA
Rfam family: Eukaryotic large subunit ribosomal RNA
Source: RNAcentral